CUCUCUAUUCUUUCUACUCCUCUUUCCUCUUUGUAUAUUUUCUUCCUUUCUACCUGUCAGCUUGUGACAUAAAGACCUACAUUAGGGGUCAUUCCCUCUUCCAACAUUGAUUAACUCCACUUUCUCCACCUACUGCUGUACUAUAUGUCCCCUUUUCAGUUUCCUUCUUGUGUUUUUAGAAGAAUUUGUGGAAUUAGAAGAGCCUGCC
This 208-nucleotide long non-coding RNA is filed under the name Elaeis guineensis (African oil palm). Its description in RNAcentral is "long non-coding RNA (EGUI_LNC033839)". Lineage: Eukaryota; Viridiplantae; Streptophyta; Magnoliopsida; Arecales; Arecaceae. The record is from RNAcentral.